UAGGUGUAAAAAAGACUUCUAAUCUUAUACAAGCAUAACAAUGCUACACUUAAU
This 54-nucleotide transfer RNA is filed under the name Gammarus chevreuxi. Its description in RNAcentral is "tRNA-Ser". Lineage: Eukaryota; Metazoa; Arthropoda; Malacostraca; Amphipoda; Gammaridae. The record is from RNAcentral.